AGGGUUUGAUCCUGGCUCAGGAUGAACGCUGGCGGCGUGCCUAAUACAUGCAAGUCGAACGAAGUCUUCGGACUUAGUGGCGAACGGGUGAGUAACACGUUGGUACCUACCCCGAAGUGGGGAAUAACUGCCCGAAAGGGUGGCUAAUACCGCAUAAUACCGCAAGGUUAAAGCAGUAAUGCGCUUCGGGAGGGGCCUGCGUCCCAUUAGCUUGUUGGUAGUGUAAUGGACUACCAAGGCGACGAUGGGUAGCUGGAUCGAGAGGUUGACCAGCCACACUGGGACUGAGAUACGGCCCAGACUCCUACGGGAGGCAGCAGUAAGGAAUCUUCCACAAUGGACGAAAGUCUGAUGGAGCAACGCCGCGUGCAGGAUGACGGCCUUCGGGUUGUAAACUGCUUUUAUAUGGGAAGAUUAUGACGGUACCAUAUGAAUAAGGACCGGCUAACUACGUGCCAGCAGCCGCGGUAAUACGUAGGGUCCAAGCGUUAUCCGGAAUCACUGGGCGUAAAGCGUCCGCAGCCGGAAGCUUAAGUGAGAUGUUAAAUCGUGUGGCUCAACCAUAUCGAUGCAUCUCAUACUGGGUUUCUAGAGGAUGGCAGAGGCAAGUGGAAUUAGCAGUGUAGCAGUGAAAUGCGUAGAUAUUGCUAGGAACACCAAUGGCGAAGGCAGCUUGCUGGGCCAUUUCUGACGGUCAUGGACGAAAGCGUGGGGAGCGAACAGGAUUAGAUACCCUGGUAGUCCACGCCGUAAACGAUGCAUACUAGACGUAUGGGGUAUCGACCCCCUGUGCGUCGAAGCUAACGCGAUAAGUAUGCCGCCUGGGAAGUACGGCCGCAAGG
This 842-nucleotide ribosomal RNA is filed under the name uncultured bacterium. RNAcentral's name for it is "bacterial SSU rRNA". It matches the Rfam family "Bacterial small subunit ribosomal RNA", at positions 8 to 893 of the family's 1533-position model. The record is from RNAcentral.